AUUGGCAACAGCAACCUGAAAAGUAGGCACCAUGGACAAAACCCGUUGUGAAAAGAAAGCAUGAUUCUUGGAUACACAUUAAUUCACUUGGACACUCCGUCUCCGUAUCAAACGUUGGAUUGGACCUAAUCUCGAACUACACAUGAACAUUCAAAGGAUGGAAUUCAUAUCGUAACCGAUCAUUAUGUUUCCACAAACCGUACCGUUGGACAUCCCAAAAUUAACCAUGAAAUGAUGACCAUCAACCCUAGUUCCAGCAGAUGUGUGUUUCUCAAAUGAACAAUCAAAGACUUUAUUUUUUUCUAUUGAUGACAUUUAAUAAAAAAAUUGUAUAUGUAUAUAACAUUUUGAAGCUUUGGGGUCCAAAGCAGUUGGGCCAGGGAGGAGUUGUCACAGUGUAAUUUUGCUUAAAAAUUCUUAUUUGAAUUUUUAUUAAGAAAAGCCUUAUUUUAAUAUUUGAAUUUUUAUAUUGCAAUAAUUUUAUUUUUAAUGAAAAACAUUUUGAAGUUUUGUUACAAAUAGACGCUUCAUUCAUUCUUUGUUAAAUUUAGCUUAACUUUAUUUAUUCUUUGUCGC
This 576-nucleotide long non-coding RNA is filed under the name Mytilus galloprovincialis (Mediterranean mussel). Lineage: Eukaryota; Metazoa; Mollusca; Bivalvia; Mytilida; Mytilidae. The record is from RNAcentral.